Non-coding RNA from Camelina sativa (false flax), 281 nucleotides. The record is from RefSeq and is a predicted model, not a curated record. NCBI's taxonomy places the organism in Eukaryota, Viridiplantae, Streptophyta, Magnoliopsida, Brassicales, Brassicaceae.
GAUAAAGACCUUGAACAACGUAGGAGAUUUUUGGAGAAUUGAAGAAGGUGGGCAAGUAGAGACCGCCUUGUUCAAUUACAUAACGAGCUACGGAAACACCAGCACAUCGGAGGUGAGGGUGGUUGUGAUCCCAGUACUCGAUCUGACCGGCCUCACUUUUGAUAGUUUCGGUGGCUUCAAGAACAUCUAGGUUAUCAAGGUUACACUCGUUCUGUAACUGAGGAGGAACCCGAAGAGAUUGCCUCGCAAAGCAGCCGUUAAGGACGAGGAGAACCCCGAAC